RNAcentral lists this ribosomal RNA (328 nucleotides) under uncultured eukaryote. RNAcentral's name for it is "partial 18S ribosomal RNA". It matches the Rfam family "Eukaryotic small subunit ribosomal RNA", at positions 1470 to 1796 of the family's 1831-position model. The record is from RNAcentral.
CCCUUAGAUGUCCUGGGCCGCACGCGCGCUACAAUGACUUAUUCAGAAAGUUUACCUGGUUCGGAAGAAUUCAGGGUAAUCUUUGUAAUACAAGUCGUGUUAGGGAUCGAUCUUUGCAAUUAUAGAUCUUGAACGAGGAAUGCCUAGUAAGCGCAGUUCAUCAGGCUGUGCUGAUUACGUCCCUGCCCUUUGUACACACCGCCCGUCGCUCCUACCGAUUGAAUGAUCCGAUGAAUAUCAUGGAUUGAGGAUGCAAGUAGGUUCGCCUAUCUUCAUCUUCGAGAAGUGAAGUAAAUCUUAUCAUUUAGAGGAAGGAGAAGUCGUAACA